Molecule: transfer RNA, 72 nt
Filed under: Marmota monax (woodchuck)
Lineage: Eukaryota; Metazoa; Chordata; Mammalia; Rodentia; Sciuridae
Description: tRNA.Ala
Source: RNAcentral
GCUGGGUGUAGCUCAGUGGUAGAACUCUUGCCCAGCAUGUGCAAGACCCUGAGUUCAAUCUCCAGCACUGCA